This 492-nucleotide ribosomal RNA is filed under the name uncultured bacterium. RNAcentral describes it as "partial 16S ribosomal RNA". It matches the Rfam family "Bacterial small subunit ribosomal RNA", at positions 29 to 507 of the family's 1533-position model. The record is from RNAcentral.
AGUGAACGCUGGCGGUAGGCCUAACACAUGCAAGUCGAACGGCAGCACAGUAAGAGCUUGCUCUUACGGGUGGCGAGUGGCGGACGGGUGAGGAAUACAUCGGAAUCUACUUUUUCGUGGGGGAUAACGUAGGGAAACUUACGCUAAUACCGCAUACGACCUACGGGUGAAAGCAGGGGAUCUUCGGACCUUGCGCGAUUGAAUGAGCCGAUGUCGGAUUAGCUAGUUGGCGGGGUAAAGGCCCACCAAGGCGACGAUCCGUAGCUGGUCUGAGAGGAUGAUCAGCCACACUGGAAGUGAGACACGGUCCAGACUCCUACGGGAGGAAGCAGUGGGGAAUAUUGGACAAUGGGGGAGAGCCUGAUCCAGCCAUACCGCGUGGGUGAAGAAGGCCUUCGGGUUGUAAAGCCCUUUUGUUGGGAAAGAAAAGCAGCAGGUUAAUACCCCGCUGUUCUGACGGUACCCAAAGAAUAAGCACCGGCUAACUUCGUG